This 253-nucleotide ribosomal RNA is filed under the name uncultured bacterium. RNAcentral's name for it is "partial 16S ribosomal RNA". It matches the Rfam family "Bacterial small subunit ribosomal RNA", at positions 524 to 776 of the family's 1533-position model. The record is from RNAcentral.
UACGGAGGGUGCAAGCGUUAUCCGGAUUCACUGGGUUUAAAGGGUGCGUAGGCGGGCAGGUAAGUCAGUGGUGAAAUCUCAGAGCUUAACUCUGAAACUGCCGUUGAUACUAUCUGUCUUGAAUAUUGUGGAGGUAAGCGGAAUAUGUCAUGUAGCGGUGAAAUGCGUAGAUAUCGAGAGGAACACCUGCGGCGAAGGCGGGUAGCUGGGCCGACACUGACGCUGAUGCGCGAAAGCCAGGGGAGCGAACGGG